AGAGUUUGAUCCUGGCUCAGAACGAACGCUGGCGGCGUGCCUAACACAUGCAAGUCGCGCGAGAAAAGGGGGGCAACUCCCUGAGUAAAGCGGCGCACGGGUGAGUAACACGUAGGUAAUCUACCCUCGAGUCCAGGAUAACCCGCCGAAAGGUGGGCUAAUACCGGAUAUGACCACGGGAGUUUCGGCUCCUGCGGUGAAAGGUGGCCUCUGCUUGCAAGCUACUGCUCGGAGAUGAGCCUGCGGGCCAUUAGCUAGUUGGUGAGGUAACGGCUCACCAAGGCGAUGAUGGCUAGCUGGUCUGAGAGGAUGGCCAGCCACACUGGGACUGAAACACGGCCCAGACUCCUACGGGAGGCAGCAGUGGGGGAUAUUGCGCAAUGGGCGAAAGCCUGACGCAGCGACGCCGCGUGGGUGAUGAAGGCCUUCGGGUCGUAAAGCCCUGUCGAGGGGAACGAAACGGUUGCGACCUAAUACGUCGUGAUCUUGACGGUACCCCUAAAGGAAGCACCGGCUAACUCCGUGCCAGCAGCCGCGGUAAUACGGAGGGUGCAAGCGUUGUUCGGAAUCACUGGGCGUAAAGGGCGUGUAGGCGGUCCACUAAGUCUGAUGUGAAAGCCCGGGGCUCACCCCCGGAAGUGCAUUGGAAACUGGUGGACUCGAGUCCCGGAGAGGAAGGUGGAAUUCCUGGUGUAGCGGUGAAACGCGUAGAUAUCAGGAGGAAUACCGGUGGCGAAGGCGGCCUUCUGGACGGUGACUGACGCUGAGACGCGAAAGCGUGGGGAGCAAACAGGAUUAGAUACCCUGGUAGUCG
RNAcentral lists this ribosomal RNA (814 nucleotides) under uncultured bacterium. Its description in RNAcentral is "bacterial SSU rRNA". It matches the Rfam family "Bacterial small subunit ribosomal RNA", at positions 8 to 796 of the family's 1533-position model. The record is from RNAcentral.